ACAACCUGCAUCUUUGCUAAGCCAAAGAUUGCAUGAUCAUUUUUGUAAGGAAACCAAGUUCUUUUCUUUUUAAGUGGUUUGGAGCCAUUUUUCUUUGUUUUACUGCUAACAUAUGGAGACUUCUUUGCUGUAACUUCAGAAACACUGAUUUCCUUUAAUUUCUGCAGGAUGUUCAGUGCUAAUGGAGGAAGAUUGCCACAUUUCCCUCUGACUGCACAACACCACAAGCAACUUAAAAUAGUGCUGAGGCUUCCGUGGUGGCAUUAUCACACUGAGCCUUCCGUCAAUCAAGCUGUAACUAGCACCAACCACGGCAUGAGAUUUCACCCUUUUGUGAGUACUGAAAAUAUUGCUGCUUAGAAAGCGCCAGAGUCAAAACAACUUGCACAGCUGGAAUUUCUGCCACAAUUGCGACGGACAGCUGGGUCCCGGCAUCGGCUGUCGAUGUGACCAGGGCAUGUGUAUCGAGGCUUCAUGUUAUUUGUAUACAAAACAAGAGUUCGCUUCUCUGCUGGCCUCCCCUUGGCUAUGAGACACCAACUGUGAAUGCGGGGAGCGCCGAUUUCUCAGCCGUCGUGGCUACUUUUCAAAAAGGUAAAUGUUCCACAUGUCCAUUUCCCCCCAGCAGAGAUGUCGUGGCGGGGAAUGCUUUCAUCUGCCGAGUUUCUGCACACCAUGGAGGUGUUCGUACACAUGCUAUUCAAAUUGUACAUUAAAAACAACAACAACAACCCAUUUUCAAAGGGUUCAAAGGGAACCCCAGGUCCAGAGCUCAAAUGUGGCCUUCCAAAUGUGGCUCUCGGGACUCUCCCCAAGCCACACUCCCUUCCUGGCCUUGCUCCUUGUAUUUCUUAAGUGGUUUUGCCUGGCUGGAAUGUGCUCUUGGACUGUAAUCAUUUAUCUCGCUUGUUUGAAUGGGGGCUGUAGAGAGCAUAGAACAGCAUAGAAGCCUCUGGCUUCGGCAUGGGAGGAAUGUAGCCUAUUGUACAAAGGACAAUUGCUCUGCCCAAUUUUGCU
Zootoca vivipara (common lizard) is the source of this 1017-nucleotide long non-coding RNA. RefSeq lists it as uncharacterized. NCBI's taxonomy places the organism in Eukaryota, Metazoa, Chordata, Lepidosauria, Squamata, Lacertidae. The record is from RefSeq and is a predicted model, not a curated record.